GACAGAGGGUGCAAACGUUGUUCGGAAUUACUGGGCGUAAAGCGCGUGUAGGCGGCUAUGCAAGUCGGAUGUGAAAGCCCUCGGCUCAACCGGGGAAGUGCACCCGAAACUGCAAAGCUAGAGUCUCGGAGAGGAUCGUGGAAUUCUCGGUGUAGAGGUGAAAUUCGUAGAUAUUCGGAAGAACACCAGUGGCGAAGGCGACUUACUGGACACAUAUUGACGCUGAGGUGCGAAAGCGUGGGGAGCAAACAGG
Molecule: ribosomal RNA, 253 nt
Filed under: uncultured bacterium
Lineage: Bacteria
Description: partial 16S ribosomal RNA
Rfam family: Bacterial small subunit ribosomal RNA
Source: RNAcentral